This 1269-nucleotide long non-coding RNA is filed under the name Phasianus colchicus (ring-necked pheasant). Its description in RNAcentral is "lncRNA (ENSPCLG00000016728.1)". The record is from RNAcentral. Lineage: Eukaryota; Metazoa; Chordata; Aves; Galliformes; Phasianidae.
GUGGGGACCCCAAAAUGAUGACCCCAAAAUGGGGACCCCAAAAAUGGAGACCUCAAAUUGGGGAUCCCAAAUGGAGACCCCAAAAUGGGGACCCCAAAGAGGGACCCCAAAAGCCAGACCCCAAAAUCAGGACCCCAAAAUGGGGUCGUCCUCCAGGCACAGCAGAUCCAGAAGCUCUGGGGGGAGGGUGGCCCCAAAAAAUGGGGGUGAGGGGGAACCCCAAAAUACGGACCCCAAAUAGAGAACCCCAAAAAAGAGACCCCAUAUAGGGACCCCAAAAAGGGAAAACCCCAAAUAGGGACCCCAAAUAGGGAGACCCCAAAUAGGGACCCCAAAAAAGGUACCCCAAAAAAGGGGACCCUAAAAAAGGGGGACCCCAAAUAGGGACCCCAAAAAGGGAAAACCCCAAAUAGGGACCCCAAAUAGGAACACCCCAAUAGGGACCCCAAAAAGAACCCCAAAGAAGGGGAACCCCAAAUAGGAACUCCUCAAAUAGGGACCCCAAAAAAGGGGACCCCAAAUAAGGACCCCAAAAAAGGUACCCCAAAAAAGGGGACCCCAAAAAAGGGGGACCCUAAAUAGGGACCCCAAAAAGGGAAAACCCCAAAUAGGGAUCCCAAAUAGGGAGACCCCAGAUAGCGACCCCAAAUAGGGACCCCAAAUAGGGAAACCCCAAAUAGGGACCCCAAAAAAGGUACCCCAAAAAAGGGGAACCCAAAAAAGGGGGACCCCAAAUAGGGACCCCAAAAAGGGAAACCCCAAAUAAGGACCCCAAAAAAGGUACCCCAAAAAAGGGGACCCCAAAGAAGGGGGACCCCAAAUAGGGACCCCAAAAAGGGAAAACCCCAAAUAGGGACCCCAAAUAGGGAGACCCCAAAUAGCGACCCCAAAUAGGGACCCCAAAUAGGGAAACCCCAAAUAGGGACCCCAAAAAAGGUACCCCAAAAAAGGGGACCCCAAAAAAGGGGGACCCCAAAUAGGGACCCCAAAUAAUGAAACCCCAAAAAGGGACCCCAAAAAAGGAGGACCCCAAAUAGGGACCCCAAAUAGGGACCCCAAAUAGGGAAACCCCAAAUAGGGAAACCUGAAAUAGGGACCCCGAAAAAGGGGGACCCCGAAAAAGGGAAAACCCAAAUAGGGACCCCAAAAAAGGGACAACCCAAAAAAGGGGGACCCCAAAUAGUGACCCCAAUAGGGACCCCAAAAAGGGAAACCCCAAAUAGGGACCCCAAAUAGGGAGACCCCAAAUAGGGACCCCAAAAAUGGUGA